Molecule: long non-coding RNA, 204 nt
Organism: Pan troglodytes (chimpanzee)
Lineage: Eukaryota; Metazoa; Chordata; Mammalia; Primates; Hominidae
Exons: 3
Source: RefSeq, a predicted model, not a curated record
GUCCUGCAAUGCUAACCAAUGGCUUCAAACUCAAGAGAAAUUCUAGGGGUAUCUUUUGGUGAAUAGAUACUCUUUAUCUUAAGGUAUCUUUUGGUGAAUAGAUACUCUUUAUCUUAAGGCACAGCUUUACUGACUAGAGCAAGUUAGUUGUCAGGUGUUAGCUACAAGAACAAACUAUAUUUGGAAGCAUCCCAGGCUCAUCAU